AGAAUCAACGCUGGCGGCGUGCCUAACACAUGCAAGUCGAACGAGAAAGUGGAGCAAUCCAUGAGUAAAGUGGCGCACGGGUGAGUAACACGUGACUAACCUACCCUUGAGUGGGGAAUAACUUCGGGAAACCGAGGCUAAUACCGCAUAACACCUACGGGUCAAAGGAGCAAUUCGCUUAAGGAGGGGGUCGCGGCAGAUUAGUUAGUUGGCGGGGUAAUGGCCCACCAAGACGGUGAUCUGUAUCCGGCCUGAGAGGGCGCACGGACACACUGGAACUGAAACACGGUCCAGACUCCUACGGGAGGCAGCAGUGGGGAAUUUGCGCAAUGGGGGAAACCCUGACGCAGCAACGCCGCGUGGAGGAUGAAGUCCCUUGGGACGUAAACUCCUUUCGAUCGGGACGAUUAUGACGGUACCGGAAGAAGAAGCCCCGGCUAACUUCGCGCUAGCAGCCGC
Molecule: ribosomal RNA, 459 nt
Filed under: uncultured bacterium
Lineage: Bacteria
Description: SSU rRNA
Rfam family: Bacterial small subunit ribosomal RNA
Source: RNAcentral